UUGUUACUCCCUCUGAUCCAUAUUACUUGUCUAAAAUUUGCCUAAAUAUGAAUGUAUUUAUGUUUAAAAAGUGUCUAGAUACUUGUAAUAUUUGGACAAGUAAUAUGGGUCGGAGGGAGUACCAA
Non-coding RNA from Brachypodium distachyon (stiff brome), 125 nucleotides. The record is from Rfam. NCBI's taxonomy places the organism in Eukaryota, Viridiplantae, Streptophyta, Magnoliopsida, Poales, Poaceae.